CUUCCUGUGGUGUAGUGGUUAUCACGUUUGCUUUACACGCAAAAGGUCUCUGGUUCAAAACCAGACAGAAACG
This 73-nucleotide transfer RNA is filed under the name Poecilia formosa (Amazon molly). It matches the Rfam family "tRNA". Rfam says of the family: Transfer RNA (tRNA) molecules are approximately 80 nucleotides in length. Their secondary structure includes four short double-helical elements and three loops (D, anti-codon, and T loops). The record is from Rfam by way of RNAcentral. Lineage: Eukaryota; Metazoa; Chordata; Actinopteri; Cyprinodontiformes; Poeciliidae.